AAUAGCAAUAAAAUUUCACACAACUCAACUAUGUCUAGAUGAUAGAUGCAAGUGGCAUCUUCUUGAUGUGGCUGAACAUGCUGAUGCGCUCCUAGAUGGUGUGCCUUAUACCUAGGAUCUUAUGUGAUGUGUGUCACAAUCUGUCAAAGAUGUGGCAGCCUGGCAGGUGCAGCUGACAAGAAAAACAACCCUUACACUGUACAAAUUUCAGCUUCACAUUAGGUAUACAUGCUGAAUUUGAGUCUAUGAUAAAUUGUCGCUGAGUCUGUAUUGUCUAUCAUCUGAUUGUUCCAAGUUGUGAUUUGGCGUUGAUUGUUGUGUGAUUUAGUUUUCAUGAAUGUUGCUUCCAGGUGCCACAAACCAUUGAUAUUUGUUUGCUUCAUAUUAUCUACAUAUCUGAGGAUUGUGUUCCUCACUUUUGUUGUGGUA
Long non-coding RNA from Lolium rigidum, 429 nucleotides. RefSeq lists it as uncharacterized. Lineage: Eukaryota; Viridiplantae; Streptophyta; Magnoliopsida; Poales; Poaceae. The transcript has 2 exons. The record is from RefSeq and is a predicted model, not a curated record.